UACGUAGGGUGCGAGCGUUAAUCGGAAUUACUGGGCGUAAAGCGUGUGCAGGCGGUUUUGUAAGCCAGAUGUGAAAUCCCCGGGCUUAACCUGGGAAUGGCAUUUGGGACUGCAAGGCUUGAGUUUGGCAGAGGAGACUGGAAUUCCUGGUGUAGCAGUGAAAUGCGUAGAUAUCAGGAGGAAUACCGAUGGCGAAGGCAGGUCUCUGGGCUAGAACUGACGCUCAUGCACGAAAGCGUGGGGAGCAAACAGG
This 253-nucleotide ribosomal RNA is filed under the name uncultured bacterium. RNAcentral's name for it is "partial 16S ribosomal RNA". It matches the Rfam family "Bacterial small subunit ribosomal RNA", at positions 524 to 776 of the family's 1533-position model. The record is from RNAcentral.